Long non-coding RNA from Orcinus orca (killer whale), 1843 nucleotides. RefSeq lists it as uncharacterized. The record is from RefSeq and is a predicted model, not a curated record. The transcript has 9 exons. Lineage: Eukaryota; Metazoa; Chordata; Mammalia; Artiodactyla; Delphinidae.
UGAAAAUUUCCCACAGGCGGAGAUGGGGGGUGAGCCUCCAGAAGGAGCAGAUGGCAGAAGCAGAUGCACGGACGGGGGCUGUCGUGGGGCUUCUCUGGGAAGCCGCUCCGUUUUCCAGGAGCGGAGUGUGUGCCUAAGCUCCCAGGAGCAUGCCUGGCAUGGGAGGGCUCCUCGGCGCAUGUUUAAGACGGAGGAUGCCACAGACCCUCGAGGGUCACGGGGGUAACGAGGUUCUGGCCAGUGCUCGCUCAUCUGCCUCCCCGGGCCUCUUCCUGAUUCGGUGAACCCAUCCCUUUGUCCCUCCCCUCACUCCUGGCUGCGGCUCCCUGAGGACCUGAGAAGUGUCGGGGCAGCCAGGAGAGAUGAAAAGAUUUACUUUGAAACCUCCCGGGGAGCAGCUGUGGUUCAGGGAGGUUCUGCUUCAUGCUUUUGAUCCUGGGACCCUCUGAGAAUGAGCUGGAAGCUGCUGUGACUCCCUCCCCAGCAUCUUAAGCCAGUAGCCUGCCCCCUGGCAGCAUGUGGCCAGCACCAAGGAGAAUGGAUCCCUGGCACUCACUUAUCCAGACUCUGUCCUGAAUGUCUAGCGUCCACCCAUCAUAUGAUCUGCUUCCCUGCCUGUUCCUGACCUCAUCAGCUCCUGACCCCCAGCCUUUUCCACCUGUCUGUUAGUAACAAUUAGAGGAGGAAGGGCUGCUCUGGCCUUGGGAGAGUCACCACGGUGACUGGACAGAGCAUGGUGGGCACAUCCACUGGGGUCCUGGCUCUGCUGAUAAUGAGCUGUGUGGUGCUAGGUGGGCUCCUGAACUGCCCCUAGCAUUUUUCCUGCGUAGGUGACAGAACAAAUGCUACAGAUCAGUUGGCUGAGCCCCAGUGAUACUCCAGGAACCCAGGAACUAACUGGCGUCGAGGAAGACUGGCAGCUCCCCAAGAGCAGGGACGCUCUUUUCCCCAGCACCUGGGGCAGUCCCCACCACAUAGUGGAGCUCAGGAAAUAGUGGUUGAGGGGAUGGAUGGAAGAACUGGACUCAUAAAGGCCUGAGGCUGGCCACAAGAAAGGCAAUUGUUUUUCCUAGAACCUACCUUUCCUAAGACACUGUGGAUACCACUGAUGUGGCAAAUGACAGGACUGAGACAAGGGGUGAGAUUCCAGGAAGAAGACGACCUGAAAAGUUGGCAUGAUGCUAUAGCUUUAUAUCUGAGAUGGUUUUGGAGGAAAACACUGGACCCUGUAAUUAUUUCCACAAAUCACAUAGCACAGGAUAACAUACUCAUAGAUGAUUUUAGAUCUAAAUCCCUUCUGCUCGCGUUUAUGAAAUAGAAGCCUCUCACCUGUGUGAAUGGGAAGACCUACCGAGCUGUUUUGGAAGAGAAAGGCCAGAACUACAUUAAAUCAUGCAGAAUGCGACAAAUGGGCCCUGUAAUGUUCAAGUCAUCAAUACGGCCAUCGACCCCCAGGAGACUUGUGGGGGGUCCUGGCACUGAGCAGGCUCAGAACUGCCCUGAGCUAUUGAUAGAAAUGGCCAGAGAGAGAUCAUUGGCCCGAGGUCACACAGUAAGGGGUUCAUGCUGAUAUUUUCAUCCUUCCAGUCUAUCUGAUGACAAAAUUAUCCCCCGACAGCACUGGGGCAUUACCGAAAGAAUAGAAUCUGUCUGGGCAAAUACGUGAGCUGCCAUUUGGAGCUCUGGGGAGAAGGGAGCCACAUCAGCCGAGAGCGAUGGCCAUCUCAGCGUGCCCGCGUUCUGAGAAGUGGAAACAGUCCUCGGAGAAGAAGGUGAGGUCAGCGCCUCCUCGCUGUGACCAAAGGCAAGGGGAUUAUCUUCCUGGGAAGAGGGCACUGCUACC